Molecule: ribosomal RNA, 497 nt
Filed under: uncultured bacterium
Lineage: Bacteria
Description: partial 16S ribosomal RNA
Rfam family: Bacterial small subunit ribosomal RNA
Source: RNAcentral
GAUGAACGCUGGCGGCGUGCCUAAUACAUGCAAGUCGAGCGAACGGACGCGAAGCUUGCUUCUCUGAUGUUAGCGGCGGACGGGUGUGUAACACGUGGAUAAUCUACCUAUAUGACUGGGAUAACUUCGGGAAACCGGAUCUAAUACCGGAUAAUAUUCUGAACCGCAUGGUUCAAUAGAGAAAUACGGUCUUGCUGUCACUUAUAGAUGGAUCCGCGCUGCAUUAGCUAGUUGGUAAGUUAACGGCCUACCAAGGCAACGCUGCCUAGCCGACCUGAGAGGAUGAUCGCCCACAUGGGAAGUGGAACACGGUCCAGGCUCCUGAGGGAAGCAGCAGUAGGGAAUCUUCCGCAAUGGGCGGGAGCAUGACGGAGUAACCGCGCGUGAGAGAUGGAGGUGUUGCGAGCGGGAAGCUCUGUUAUUAGGGAAAAACAUAUGUGUAAGUAGCUGUGGAGAUCUUGACGGUACCUAAUCAGAAAGCCACGGCUAACUACGUG